RNAcentral lists this ribosomal RNA (545 nucleotides) under Epinephelus cf. stictus KYM-2014. RNAcentral describes it as "partial 16S ribosomal RNA". It matches the Rfam family "Bacterial large subunit ribosomal RNA", at positions 1851 to 2593 of the family's 2925-position model. Lineage: Eukaryota; Metazoa; Chordata; Actinopteri; Perciformes; Serranidae. The record is from RNAcentral.
GGUCCCGCCUGCCCUGUGACUAUAUGUUUAACGGCCGCGGUAUUUUGACCGUGCGAAGGUAGCGCAAUCACUUGUCUCUUAAAUGGGGACCUGUAUGAAUGGCAUAACGAGGGCUUGACUGUCUCCUCUUUCAAGUCAAUGAAAUUGAUCUCCCCGUGCAGAAGCGGGGAUAAACACAUAAGACGAGAAGACCCUAUGGAGCUUUAGACACUAAAGCAGAUCAACAUUAAUUAACCUAAACACAGGAUACGAAUAAACUGAACCCUGCCCUAAUGUCUUAGGUUGGGGCGACCGCGGAGUAAUAAAAAACCCCCGCAAGGACCGAAUGUACUACAUUCACAACCAAGAGCGACAGCUCUAAUUAACAGAUACUUCUGACCAAUAAGAUCCGGCAAUACCGAUCAAUGGACCAAGUUACCCUAGGGAUAACAGCGCAAUCUCCUCUUAGAGCCCGUAUCAACGAGGGGGUUUACGACCUCGAUGUUGGAUCAGGACAUCCUAAUGGUGCAGCCGCUAUUAAGGGUUCGUUUGUUCAACGAUUAAAG